Manis javanica (Malayan pangolin) is the source of this 545-nucleotide non-coding RNA. The record is from RefSeq and is a predicted model, not a curated record. Lineage: Eukaryota; Metazoa; Chordata; Mammalia; Pholidota; Manidae.
GAGUUAUUGAAGCCAGGAUAUGGCCAGCAGAGCAACAUCCUGCUGCGAGCCCCAACUGCAUUAAAUCCUGGAGACACUGUUUAGUGGACAUGGCCCUGGACAUUUCGACACACGGACCAGUGACAGCACAGCUGGCAUGUUGGGGUAAAGGCCUGGAAGCUGGCCUCAUGCAUAUUUUUGGAGUAAUGGCAGAGUGGUCCUCAAAGAUCACGGUAGUGUACCCAAAACAUCCAGGAGGGACUGUGGCCUGGAUGCACCCCCCUGACUGUAGCUGCCGCGUGAUGAUUGCUCUGAAUUCCCUACCUGUUCAGCUAUUGCCUGCUUGUGGAAUGGGCUGAGAAGAGCCCAUGCCUGAAGAGAGGCCCCACUUACCAUUGAGAAGAAGGCUGAGGGAUGUUGUGCUGCCCCAGGGGUGCCUGGGUGCACCAGGGCCAGGAAUCAGCAUGCUGAGCUGGGUCCAGUAGCCACGAAUGAGGAAACUGAGGCUCCAAGAAGUAAAGUGAUUCGUUGGAGGUCACCAGUCAGUGGUGGAGCUGGGAAGCAAG